GGCAGGGUUGAGGGAUGUAACCCUCCUUUUCCAGCUCUGGAAGAAGAAUGUUCAACAAAGAGUAGAUCUGGGCAGACUCUGAAUGACUUUCAUCUGCAGCAACGAACAAAUGGGUUAUGUUAUUGAGCUCAAUCCAGCUAUACCCGGGUAUCUUCUGAGCUCCUCUUUCUUUCAUUAAACGUCGUAUCUUAUUCACAUUUCCCCACUGUCCAGCAUCAGCAUGUAUAUUUGAAAGCAGCACAUAGUAGCCUGAGUUUUGUGGGUCUAAAUCAAACAGAUGACUUGAAGCCACUUCAGCUAGCUCAACAUUGCCAUGGACCCGACAUGCUCCCAGCAAUGUUCCCCAGACACCUGCAUCAGGUGCAAAUGGCAUACUGUUUAUGGUCUCUAAUGCCUUAUUCAAACGACCAGCACGCCCAAACAA
RNAcentral lists this long non-coding RNA (424 nucleotides) under Citrus maxima (pomelo). RNAcentral's name for it is "long non-coding RNA (CMAX_LNC001049)". Lineage: Eukaryota; Viridiplantae; Streptophyta; Magnoliopsida; Sapindales; Rutaceae. The record is from RNAcentral.